CACGGCGAAUUGAAGCGGCAAGAGCUUCAAACUUGAGAUCUGGCUCCCUUCGGGGCCCGAGUUGUAAUUUGUAGAGGADGCUUCGGGCGUGGCCGCGGUCUAAGUCCCCUGGAACGGGGCGUCGCAGAGGGUGAGAAUCCCGUCUUCGGCCGGCCGGCCCCGCCCGUGUGAAGCUCCUUCGACGAGUCGAGUUGUUUGGGAAUGCAGCUCUAAAUGGGUGGUAAAUUUCAUCUAAAGCUAAAUACUGGUCGGAGACCGAUAGCGCACAAGUAGAGUGAUCGAAAGAUGAAAAGCACUUUGAAAAGAGAGUUAAACAGCAUGUGAAAUUGUUGAAAGGGAAGCGCUUGCGACCAGAGUCGGCCGCGGGGGCUCAGCGGGCACUUGUUGCCCGUGCACUCCCCCGUGGUCGGGCCAGCGUCGGUUUCGACGGCCGGUCAAAGGCCCCCGGAAUGUGUCGCCUCUCGGGGCGUCUUAUAGCCGGGGGUGCAAUGCGGCCAGUCGGGACCGAGGAACGCGCUCCGGCACGGACGCUGGCUUAAUGGUUGUAAGCGACCCGUCUUGAAACACGGACCAAGGAGUCUAACAUCCACGCGAGUGUUCGGGUGUCAAACCCGUCCGCGCAGUGAAAGCGAACGGAGGUGGGAACCCUCAAGGGUGCACCAUCGACCGAUCCUGAAGUCUUCGGAUGGAUUUGAGUAAGAGCGUGGCUGUUGGGACCCGAAAGAUGGUGAACUAUGCCUGAAUAGGGUGAAGGGAGAGGAAACUCUGGUGGAGGCUCGCAGCGGUUUCUGACGUGCAAAUCGAUCGUCAAAUUU
Molecule: ribosomal RNA, 815 nt
Filed under: Paracoccidioides lutzii
Lineage: Eukaryota; Fungi; Ascomycota; Eurotiomycetes; Onygenales; Ajellomycetaceae
Description: eukaryotic LSU rRNA
Rfam family: Eukaryotic large subunit ribosomal RNA
Source: RNAcentral